GACGAACGCUAGCGGCGUGCUUAACACAUGCAAGUCGAACGGAAAGGCCCUGCUUUUGUGGGGUGCUCGAGUGGCGAACGGGUGAGUAACACGUGAGUAACCUGCCCUUGACUUUGGGAUAACUUCAGGAAACUGGGGCUAAUACCGGAUAGGAGCUCCUGCUGCAUGGUGGGGGUUGGAAAGUUUCGGCGGUUGGGGAUGGACUCGCGGCUUAUCAGCUUGUUGGUGGGGUAGUGGCUUACCAAGGCUUUGACGGGUAGCCGGCCUGAGAGGGUGACCGGCCACACUGGGACUGAGAGACGGCCCAGACUCCUACGGGAGGCAGCAGUGGGGAAUAUUGCACAAUGGGCGAAAGCCUGAUGCAGCGACGCCGCGUGAGGGAUGACGGCCUUCGGGUUGUAAACCUCUUUCAGUAGGGAAGAAGCGAGAGUGACGGUACCUGCAGAAGAAGCGCCGGCUAACUACGUG
RNAcentral lists this ribosomal RNA (468 nucleotides) under uncultured bacterium. Its description in RNAcentral is "partial 16S ribosomal RNA". It matches the Rfam family "Bacterial small subunit ribosomal RNA", at positions 28 to 507 of the family's 1533-position model. The record is from RNAcentral.